UAGGGAAUCUUCCACAAUGGACGCAAGUCUGAUGGAGCAACGCCGCGUGAGCGAAGAAGGUUUUCGGACCGUAAAGCUCUGUUGUUGGUGAAGAAGGAUAGAGGUAGUAACUGGCCUUUAUUUGACGGUAAUCAACCAGAAAGUCACGGCUAACUACGUGCCAGCAGCCGCGGUAAUACGUAGGUGGCAAGCGUUGUCCGGAUUUAUUGGGCGUAAAGCGAGCGCAGGCGGAAGAAUAAGUCUGAUGUGAAAGCCCUCGGCUUAACCGAGGAAUUGCAUCGGAAACUGUUUUUCUUGAGUGCAGAAGAGGAGAGUAGAACUCCAUGUGUAGCGGUGGAAUGCGUAGAUAUAUGGAAGAAUACCAGUGGCGAAGGCGGCUCUCUGGUCUGCAACUGACGCUGAGGCUCGAAAGCAUGGGUAGCGAACAGGAUUAGAUACCCUGGUAGUCCAUGCCGUAAACGAUGAGUGCUAAGUGUUGGGAGGCUUCCGCCUCUCAGUGCUGCAGCUAACGCAUUAAGCACUCCGCCUGGGGGAGUACGACCGCAAGGUUGAAAC
RNAcentral lists this ribosomal RNA (555 nucleotides) under uncultured bacterium. RNAcentral describes it as "partial 16S ribosomal RNA". It matches the Rfam family "Bacterial small subunit ribosomal RNA", at positions 355 to 900 of the family's 1533-position model. The record is from RNAcentral.